Podarcis lilfordi (Lilford's wall lizard) is the source of this 1078-nucleotide non-coding RNA. Lineage: Eukaryota; Metazoa; Chordata; Lepidosauria; Squamata; Lacertidae. The record is from the annotation of a GenBank genome assembly.
GUUACUUGUACACACCGAAGUGAGAGCUUUCUUGGGGUGCUCUCUCUCUCUCUCUCUCUCUCUCUCUCUCGUGUGUGUGUAUGUGUGUGUUUGUCUGCUUGCGAGGGGUGCGCUCCCGAUAUGCGUUAUGCAAAAAUGAGGAUGAUUUGUGAAGAAAUCAUCCUUGUAAAGCUAUUGGUUCUGGUCAUCAGCCUUUAUCCAAUGCUUUGGUGAUGCUGCUGCUGAUCUAUUUGGGAAGUUGGCUGGCUCUCAAGGCAGUCUCUCUCCCUCUCCCUCUCCUCUCUCUCUCCUCAAAGGCUGUUCCACAGUGAAAAUAUGCUCAGUGCAGUUGAGUGCAUGAAUGAAAAAGCCUCCAGUAUCUUCUAGGCUAGCAAAAUGCAGCACAAGGCUCAACUUACCCUGGCUUUCCUCCUGUCCCAGGUAAGGAAUUUGGUGCUUUGAUCUGGUCUUAGGGGUUAUGUGCUUGUGUGUAUCUGUGUUUCUUUCUCGGGUUUUUUGGGGGGGAAUGUUUUGCAUUUGGCUAUCUGGAAGUGUCUUGAUUUCUCAACGAUCGCAUGCCGACUUGAAAAACACACAAGAUACGCACGAUGAAGUGUGGAUGUGAGAAGCAAUUCUCCGAUGUGAAAAAUGCCUCUGUGUGCUUUCCAGUGACAGGAAAUUAGCGACAUAAUACGUGUGUGUGCAUGCAAAUUGUAUUUCCUUCACAUGAAAGAGAGUACGGAUUGCUGGUUCCGUGGUGCCAGCAACAAGAUAUUCUAUCACCUUCAAUGCUUCAACUUUGAUUUUUAUUUUUUUUAUUUUUUUGCUUCUCCUUCCUAUGGCUUCUGCCAGGACAAGAUCAUUACAUUGCUUACUCCCCACACUCGUUAAAAAGAAAAGAGGAAGGGGGGGGGGGACAUGAUAAAGAUUUUUUAAAAAUAAAAAUGUGGAAGAAUAAGGGCUUUCCCCUGCCUCUCCUUCUCUGCCCUACCGCUUUGGUGAAUUUGUAAAAUCGAGUAUUAAUGAGCAGCUCAGCAGCCUUACCUCCCGCCCUCUUCUCAACUGUAAAAGAUCCCACCCCCACCCCUUGCAAAAAGGU